CAAAUACUCCCUUGAUCCGUAAAUACGUGUCAUAGGAAUGAAUGUAUCCAGAUCUAUUUUAGUUCUAGAUAAAUUUAUUUCUAUAUAUUUAUGUGACAAGUAGUUUCGAAUGGAGGGAGUAGAAG
RNAcentral lists this microRNA precursor (125 nucleotides) under Hordeum vulgare. Its description in RNAcentral is "microRNA MIR1122". It matches the Rfam family "MIR1120/MIR1122 microRNA precursor family". Lineage: Eukaryota; Viridiplantae; Streptophyta; Magnoliopsida; Poales; Poaceae. The record is from RNAcentral.